GAUGAAGAACGUAGCGAAAUGCGAUAAGUAAUGUGAAUUGCAGAAUUCAGUGAAUCAUCGAAUCUUUGAACGCACAUUGCGCCCUUUGGUAUUCCGAAGGGCAUGCCUGUUCGAGCGUCAUUUCACCACUCAAGCCUGGCUUGGUAUUGGGCGCCGCGGUCGAUCCGCGCGCCUCAAAGUCUCCGGCUGAGCUGUCCGUCUCUAAGCGUUGUGAUUUCAUUAAUCGCUUCGGAGUGCGGGCGGCCGCGGCCGUUAAAUCUUUCACAAGGUUGACCUCGGAUCAGGUAGGGAUACCCGCUGAACUUAAGCAUAUCAAUAAGAGGA
This 324-nucleotide unclassified non-coding RNA is filed under the name soil metagenome. RNAcentral describes it as "partial contains 5.8S ribosomal RNA, internal transcribed spacer 2, and large subunit ribosomal RNA". The stretch from base 1 to 120 matches the Rfam family "5.8S ribosomal RNA", at positions 35 to 154 of the family's 154-position model. The record is from RNAcentral.